Long non-coding RNA from Quercus robur (English oak), 773 nucleotides. RefSeq lists it as uncharacterized. Lineage: Eukaryota; Viridiplantae; Streptophyta; Magnoliopsida; Fagales; Fagaceae. The record is from RefSeq and is a predicted model, not a curated record. The transcript has 2 exons.
AGCAUCAUCAAAAAGAUCUUAAAGGAAGAACGGAGAGUAAAAGGUGCAGCUGUAAGAGCCUUUGCAUUAGUCGCUACUUUAACAUUUCAGCAAAUAAAUGGCCAAACACACCCAAAAUCAGUUUGCAUCUGCCUCACCAGUUUGACCUUCAAACUUGGCAGAUGAACAGUACCUUGCCAGCUCUAGCGAGGGAACUGUUCAUUCCAAACAAUAGAAAAUCAUUGUUCAUGCAGAAACACACCCAAAAUCAGUUUGCAUCACUCUCUCUCUCUCGACCAUGCUCUCUGUCCUCUCUCUUCGACUUUGCACCAUUUUUGUAAAGGAGCUCACUGUUAAUUGGCCUUGGCGGCACAGGGAAAUGGGGUUUUAUACGUUGCCAAUCGAAACCCAUUUCAGUUGGGUGUGCGUGUCUGCCGUGUACUGGUGAGUGGCUGGCAGCGUGUGGGAUUAGUUGUGCUGCAGGUGUGGGUUUGUUUGAUGAUGGGUUCAAUUUUUUUGGCUCUAUCUGUUUUAGUAGCUGAUGCAAUUUGUUGCUCAAAAUCAUCAUUUUUCUUUACUCAAUUUUACUUCUGUUUGAAUGUGUUUGUUCAUGUUUCUGGGUUUUAAACUGAAUAGCUGUUUUUUUUUUCAUGGUACUCUAUUUAUUCUAACGUGCUGAGGUUCAGAACUCUGUUCUACAUUUUACUCACUUCUCAGAUUUUCAAUAAUCUUUUGGGUCUGUUUGGUAGUUGGGGAAAGAGUUUGAUUUAUUAAAGAACGAAACUUUAACUUUA